RNAcentral lists this ribosomal RNA (296 nucleotides) under Testudo hermanni hermanni. RNAcentral describes it as "partial 12S ribosomal RNA". The record is from RNAcentral. Lineage: Eukaryota; Metazoa; Chordata; Testudines; Testudinidae.
CCCCUAGAGGAGCCUGUUCUAUAAUCGAUAAUCCACGAUCUACCUCACCAUCUCUUGCCAAUACCGCCUAUAUACCGCCGUCACCAGCCUACCCUAUGAAGGAUAUAAAAGUAAGCAAAAUAGCACAACAGCUAACAAGUCAGGUCAAGGUGUAGCUUACUGAGAUGGAAGAAAUGGGCUACAUUUUCUAAACUAGAAAUCAUUUCACGGAAAGAACUAUGAAACAAGUCCUAUAAGUAGGAUUUAGCAGUAAAUAGGGAUCAGAAUGCCCAAUUUAAGCCGGUCCUAAGGUACGC